Molecule: long non-coding RNA, 609 nt
Organism: Ruditapes philippinarum (Manila clam)
Lineage: Eukaryota; Metazoa; Mollusca; Bivalvia; Venerida; Veneridae
Exons: 3
Source: RefSeq, a predicted model, not a curated record
UAACUUAAGGUUGAAGGUUUGGUAAUAAGUUAAAUAUUUGACUAAUGCCUUGUCAUUAGUUUAACCUAUAUCAUUAUUUAGCUGUAAAAAAAAAAAAAGGAUAUCGGUCUAUUGAAAGUUUUAGAAACUGGCAAUGAAAGAUUAUUGGAACACAGAACAAUCAAGAUGUUAAUACAAUUAUCUGUUGUUCUAUGCUGUCUCUCAGGUGCAUCUGGGACAUAUGUGGCAUAUUUUCCAAAUUCACUGAUACCUGGUAUUCCGUUGAAAGUUCGAGUUCUGGUUCAAGACUCUGGAGGUCCAGUUUCAGUUUGCGCCGGUGUGAAAUUUGCCGACAACGACUCAGUUGUUGCAGAAAAUACUAUCCCUGUGAACAGCGGUAAGUUCAUUUUAAGAACAUCUUUUUAAGAUCUUUAAAACAUAUUGUCAUUGACAUUAAUUGAUAUAUUUAUAUUAAAGUGAGUUGGUCUAAUUUUCCAAUGUUUUAAAUGUUGAUAAAAUAUUGAAAUGUAUCAUGAGGAUAUUCUUUAGAAAUAUUACAAAAAUUUGUAGAAAAAGUUCUUAGUGAUUAAAAAUGCUUCGUCAUACGGAUUUAACUGAAUCAUCUUAAUA